UACGUAGGUGGCGAGCGUUGUCCGGAUUUACUGGGCGUAAAGGGAGCGUAGGCGGACUUUUAAGUGAGAUGUGAAAUACCCGGGCUCAACUUGGGUGCUGCAUUUCAAACUGGAAGUCUAGAGUGCAGGAGAGGAGAACGGAAUUCCUAGUGUAGCGGUGAAAUGCGUAGAGAUUAGGAAGAACACCAGUGGCGAAGGCGAUUCUCUGGACUGUAACUGACGCUGAGGCUCGAAAGCGUGGGGAGCAAACAGGAUUAGAUACCCUGGUA
This 269-nucleotide ribosomal RNA is filed under the name uncultured prokaryote. RNAcentral describes it as "partial 16S ribosomal RNA". It matches the Rfam family "Bacterial small subunit ribosomal RNA", at positions 524 to 792 of the family's 1533-position model. The record is from RNAcentral.